RNAcentral lists this ribosomal RNA (301 nucleotides) under uncultured bacterium. RNAcentral describes it as "partial 16S ribosomal RNA". It matches the Rfam family "Bacterial small subunit ribosomal RNA", at positions 509 to 807 of the family's 1533-position model. The record is from RNAcentral.
CAGCAGCCGCGGGAAUACGUAGGGUGCGAGCGUUAAUCGGAAUUACUGGGCGUAAAGCGUGCGCAGGCGGUUCGUUAAGACAGAUGUGAAAUCCCCGGGCUUAACCUGGGAACUGCAUUCGUGACUGGCGAGCUAGAGUAUGGCAGAGGGGGGUAGAAUUCCACGUGUAGCAGUGAAAUGCGUAGAGAUGUGGAGGAAUACCGAUGGCGAAGGCAGCCCCCUGGGCCAAUACUGACGCUCAUGCACGAAAGCGUGGGGAGCAAACAGGAUUAGAUACCCCCGUAGUCCCUGUCUCUUAUAC